This 253-nucleotide ribosomal RNA is filed under the name uncultured bacterium. Its description in RNAcentral is "partial 16S ribosomal RNA". It matches the Rfam family "Bacterial small subunit ribosomal RNA", at positions 524 to 776 of the family's 1533-position model. The record is from RNAcentral.
UACGUAGGGUGCAAGCGUUGUCCGGAAUUAUUGGGCGUAAAGAGCUCGUAGGCGGCUUGUCACGUCGGCUGUGAAAACCCGGGGCUCAACCCCGGGCCUGCAGUCGAUACGGGCUAGCUAGAGUUCGGCAGGGGAGACUGGAAUUCCUGGUGUAGCGGUGAAAUGCGCAGAUAUCAGGAGGAACACCGGUGGCGAAGGCGGGUCUCUGGGCCGAUACUGACGCUGAGGAGCGAAAGCGUGGGGAGCGAACAGG